Molecule: transfer RNA, 69 nt
Filed under: Rattus norvegicus (Norway rat)
Lineage: Eukaryota; Metazoa; Chordata; Mammalia; Rodentia; Muridae
Rfam family: tRNA
About the family: Transfer RNA (tRNA) molecules are approximately 80 nucleotides in length. Their secondary structure includes four short double-helical elements and three loops (D, anti-codon, and T loops). Further hydrogen bonds mediate the characteristic L-shaped molecular structure. tRNAs have two regions of fundamental functional importance: the anti-codon, which is responsible for specific mRNA codon recognition, and the 3' end, to which the tRNAs corresponding amino acid is attached (by aminoacyl-tRNA synthetases). tRNAs cope with the degeneracy of the genetic code in two manners: having more than one tRNA (with a specific anti-codon) for a particular amino acid; and 'wobble' base-pairing, i.e. permitting non-standard base-pairing at the 3rd anti-codon position.
Source: Rfam by way of RNAcentral
GGGGAUUUAGCUCAGUGGUAGAGCGCUUGCCUAGGAAGCGCAAGGCCCUGGAUUCGAUCCCCAGCUCCG